Molecule: ribosomal RNA, 467 nt
Filed under: uncultured bacterium
Lineage: Bacteria
Description: partial 16S ribosomal RNA
Rfam family: Bacterial small subunit ribosomal RNA
Source: RNAcentral
GACGAACGCUGGCGGCGUGCUUAACACAUGCAAGUCGAACGGAAAGGCCUCUUUCGGGGGGUACUCGAGUGGCGAACGGGUGAGUAACACGUGAGUAACCUGUCCUUGACUUUGGGAUAACUUCAGGAAACUGGGGCUAAUACCGGAUAGGAGCUCCUGCUGCAUGGUGGGGGUUGGAAAGUUUCGGCGGUUGGGGAUGGACUCGCGGCUUAUCAGCUUGUUGGUGGGGUAGUGGCUUACCAAGGCUUUGACGGGUAGCCGGCCUGAGAGGGUGACCGGCCACAGUGGGACUGAGAUACGGCCCAGACUCCUACGGGAGGCAGCAGUGGGGAAUAUUGCACAAUGGGUGGAAGCCUGAUGCAGCAACGCCGUGUGCGGGAUGACGGCCUUCGGGUUGUAAACCGCUUUCGCUCAUGACGAAGCUUUGUGUGACGGUAGUGGGUAAAGAAGCACCGGCUAACUACGUG